This 1560-nucleotide ribosomal RNA is filed under the name Planctomycetota bacterium. Its description in RNAcentral is "bacterial SSU rRNA". It matches the Rfam family "Bacterial small subunit ribosomal RNA". The record is from RNAcentral. Lineage: Bacteria; Pseudomonadati; Planctomycetota.
GUUUUGAAGGGUUUGAUCCUGGCUCAGAGUGAACGUUGGCGGCGUGGAUUAGGCAUGCAAGUCGAACGCAGUGGGGGCAACUCCACUGAGUGGCGAAAGGGUGAGUAAUGCAUAAUCAAUCUGCCCCUGAGACUGGAAUAGCUACUGGAAACGGUAGGUAAUGCCAGAUGGUCCCGUUGGGUGGCAUCACCCGUUGGGUAAACGGUAGGGAUCUUCGGACCUUCUGCUCGGGGAGGAGAUUAUGUCCUAUUAGCUAGUUGGUGAGGUAAUGGCUCACCAAGGCUGUGAUGGGUAGCUGGCCUGAGAGGGUGGUCAGCCACAUUGGGACUGAGACACUGCCCAAACUCUUACGGGAGGCUGCAGUCGAGAAUCUUCCGCAAUGGGCGAAAGCCUGACGGAGCGACGCCGCGUGGAGGAUCGAAGGCCUUCGGGUUGUAAACUCCUUUCGAGCGGGGACGAAUAGCCUGGCGUGAACAGCGUCGGGUGUGACUUAACCCGCAGAAGAAGCUCCGGCUAACCCUGUGCCAGCAGCCGCGGUAAUACAGGGGGAGCGAACGUUACUCGGAAUCACUGGGCAUAAAGGGCGCGUAGGCGGUCCUGUAAGUCGGAUGUGAAAGACCUUGGCUCAACCAAGGAAUGGCAUCCGAUACUGCGGGGCUUGAGGCCAAGAGGGGCAAGCGGAACUCCUGGUGGAGCGGUGAAAUGCGUAGAUAUCAGGAGGAACACCGGUGGCGAAGGCGGCUUGCUGGAUUGGUUCUGACGCUGAGGCGCGAAAGCCAGGGGAGCAAACGGGAUUAGAUACCCCGGUAGUCCUGGCCGUAAACGAUGGGCACUGGGUAGUGGAGACUAUCUAUGGUCUUCGCUGCCGUAGCUAAUGUGUUAAGUGCCCCGCCUGGGGAGUAUGCUCGCAAGGGUAAAACUCAAAGGAAUUGACGGGGGCUCACACAAGCGGUGGAGCAUGUGGUUUAAUUCGAUGCAACGCGAAGAACCUUACCCAGACUUGACAUGUACGGAUUAGCUUUCCGAAAGGCGAGCGACACCCGCAAGGGUGGAACGUACACAGGUGUUGCAUGGCUGUCGUCAGCUCGUGUCGUGAGAUGUCGGGUUAAGUCCCAUAACGAGCGAAACCCCUAUCAUUAGUUGCCAACGGGUAAAGCCGGGGACUCUAGUGAGACUGCCGUUGUCAAAACGGAGGAAGGUGGGGAUGACGUCAAGUCAUCAUGGCCCUUAUGUCUGGGGUGACACACGUGCUACAAUGGCAAGGACAACGGGUACCGAAGCCGCGAGGCGGAGGCAAUCUUCCAAACCUUGUCUCAGUUCGGAUUGCAGUCUGAAAUUCGACUGCAUGAAGUUGGAAUCGCUAGUAAUCGCGGAUCAGCCAUGCCGCGGUGAAUAUGUUCCUGAGCCUUGUACACACCGCCCGUCAAGCCACGAAAGCCGGGAGCGCCUGAAGUCAUUUGCCUAACCUUCGGGAGGGCGAUGCCGACGGCGAGUUCGGUGAUUGGGACUAAGUCGUAACAAGGUAGCCGUAGGGGAACCUGCGGCUGGAUCACCUCCUUU